This 468-nucleotide ribosomal RNA is filed under the name uncultured bacterium. RNAcentral's name for it is "partial 16S ribosomal RNA". It matches the Rfam family "Bacterial small subunit ribosomal RNA", at positions 28 to 507 of the family's 1533-position model. The record is from RNAcentral.
GACGAACGCUGGCGGCGUGCUUAACACAUGCAAGUCGAACGGAAAGGCCCUGAUUUUGCGGGGUGCUCGAGUGGCGAACGCGUGAGUAACACGCGAGUAAAAUGCCCUUGACUUUGGGAUAACUUCAGGAAACUGGGGCUAAUACCGGAUAGGAGAUCCUGAUGCAUGGUGGGGGUUGGAAAGUUUCGGCGGUUGGGGAUGGACUAGCGGCUUAUCAGCUUGAUGGUGGGGUAGUGGCUUACAAAGGCUUUGACGGGUAGCCGGCCUGAGAGGUUGACCGGCCACAUUGGGACUGAGAUACGGCCCAGUCUCCUACGGGAGGCAGCAGUGGGGAAUAUUGCACAAUGGGCGGAAGCCUGAUGCAGCAACGCCGCGAGCGGGAUAACGGCCUUCUAGUUGUAAACCGCUUUCUCCUGUGACGAAGCGUGAGUGACGGUAAUGGGUAAAGAAGCACCGGCUAACUACGUG